RNAcentral lists this ribosomal RNA (877 nucleotides) under uncultured bacterium. RNAcentral's name for it is "bacterial SSU rRNA". It matches the Rfam family "Bacterial small subunit ribosomal RNA", at positions 8 to 916 of the family's 1533-position model. The record is from RNAcentral.
AGAGUUUGAUCCUGGCUCAGAAUCAACGCUGGCGGCGCGCUUAACACAUGCAAGUCGCACGAGAAAGCAGGAGCAAUCUUGUGAGUAAAGUGGCGUACGGGUGAGUAACACGUGGAUCAUCUACCUUCUAGUGGGGAAUACCUCUGGGAAACCGGAGAUAAUUCCGCAUAAGCUCGUGAGAGGAAAGCCGAAAGGCGCUGGAAGAGGAGUCCGCGGCUGAUUAGCUAGAUGGCGGGGUAACGGCCCACCAUGGCGAAGAUCGGUAGCCGGCCUGAGAGGGCACACGGCCACACUGGCACUGAAACACGGGCCAGACUCCUACGGGAGGCAGCAGUGGGGAAUCUUGCACAAUGGAGGCAACUCUGAUGCAGCGACGCCGCGUGAGCGAUGAAGCCCUUCGGGGUGUAAAGCUCUUUCGACGGGAAAGAUUAUGACGGUACCCGGAGAAGAAGCUGCGGCUAACUACGUGCCAGCAGCCGCGGUAAUACGUAGGCAGCGAGCGUUGUUCGGAAUUACUGGGCGUAAAGAGUGUGUAGGCGGUGCUCCAAGUCUGGUGUGAAAUCUCCCGGCUUAACUGGGAGGGUGCGCCGGAAACUGGAGUGCUAGAGGAUGGGAGAGGUAAGCGGAAUUCCUGGUGUAGCGGUGAAAUGCGUAGAUAUCAGGAGGAACACCUGUGGUGUAGACAGCUUACUGGACCAUUUCUGACGCUGAGACACGAAAGCGUGGGUAGCAAACAGGAUUAGAUACCCUGGUAGUCCACGCCCUAAACGAUGCAUACUUGGUGUGAGCGAUUCAUUUCGUUCGUGCCGGAGCUAACGCGUUAAGUAUGCCGCCUGGGGAGUACGGUCGCAAGGUUGAAACUCAAAGGAAUUGACGG